GAUGAACGCUAGCGGCAGGCUUAAUACAUGCAAGUCGUGGGGCAGCAUGAGUAGCAAUACUUGAUGGCGACCGGCAAACGGGUGAGGAACACGUACACAACCUUCCUUCAAGCGGGGAAUAGCCCUGAGAAAUUUGGAUUAAUACCCCAUAAUAUAUUUGAUAAGGCAUCUUAUUAAUAUUAAAGCUUCGGCACUUGAUGAUGGGUGUGCGGCUGAUUAGAUAGUUGGCGGGGUAACGGCCCACCAAGUCUACGAUCAGUAGCUGAUGUGAGAGCAUGAUCAGCCACACGGGCACUGAGACACGGGCCCGACUCCUACGGGAGGCAGCAGUAAGGAAUAUUGGACAAUGGACGAAAGUCUGAUCCAGCCAUGCCGCGUGAAGGAUUAAGGUCCUCUGGAUUGUAAACUUCUUUAUAUGGGACGAAAAAGGGCAUUCUUGUUCACUUGACGGUACCAUAUGAAUAAGCACCGGCUAACUCCGUGCCAGC
RNAcentral lists this ribosomal RNA (488 nucleotides) under uncultured bacterium. Its description in RNAcentral is "bacterial SSU rRNA". It matches the Rfam family "Bacterial small subunit ribosomal RNA", at positions 28 to 512 of the family's 1533-position model. The record is from RNAcentral.